Molecule: long non-coding RNA, 326 nt
Filed under: Salmo salar (Atlantic salmon)
Lineage: Eukaryota; Metazoa; Chordata; Actinopteri; Salmoniformes; Salmonidae
Description: lncRNA (ENSSSAG00000087186.1)
Source: RNAcentral
CUGAGGUGAGAUGGACAGAUAGGGGAGCUGUUGAUGAAAUAACAGGACAAAAAAGAGAAGAGCUCCACCAACAAAUGGACAAAAUGCCACCAGUCUAACAAAACACAGCUCUGUGUGUUCGCCUGGCUGGAGGAGAUGGAGAAGAAGAAAUGAAAUUGGACUUUCUUUUCUGUUUGGAGAAAGCUUGGUCUUGGCUGUGUCUGCUUUCUUCCCUUCUGCGGUGCUCAAUUACUCUGUCUUCCCGGGCCAAGCGCUGGUGUCAAGCUACCCUAAUGACUUUCUGAUUAUCUGUCUUUAACUGAUGAAUGAGAUGGAAAUGCACCACC